CCCCGGGCCCAGGAGCGUAUCUUUGUGAGGUACAUUUUGAAGAAAAUCAAUUUGAAUGCUCUAGGCAAGAUGGGCGUAAAAAACUCAAGCCCAAUGCUGUGCCAACUCUUUUCAAUGUGCCUAAUCCCCCACAACUGUUGACCCCACAGCGUCUAAAAGGCAUUGGUUUACCAAAGCACCGUUCAGUUACAUCCAAUUUUUGUAAUGGUGGCUUGCUGCACAGUUUACCUUUAUCAACUGAAGCGAUUUCUGUUGCUGAACCA
This 263-nucleotide long non-coding RNA is filed under the name Stegodyphus dumicola. RNAcentral describes it as "uncharacterized LOC118181314". The record is from RNAcentral. Lineage: Eukaryota; Metazoa; Arthropoda; Arachnida; Araneae; Eresidae.